Molecule: long non-coding RNA, 1088 nt
Organism: Sarcophilus harrisii (Tasmanian devil)
Lineage: Eukaryota; Metazoa; Chordata; Mammalia; Dasyuromorphia; Dasyuridae
Exons: 3
Source: RefSeq, a predicted model, not a curated record
UCUCUCCAGUAGCAUGAAGCUGCAUAUAAGAACCCAAAAUAACCCCAUUAUUUAAAAAAAAAAAAAACUGUUGGUUAUAUACAAAAAUUGCUACAGUACUCAACUUUGCAUAUUUGUGGUGAAGUAUAAAAAAUGUGUCUGGAAGGAAAACAGUUUAUGUUGUUGUUAAUGCCAAGUGGUCAAACAACUCUUAUUAUUUAAAGAGAAAUGAAACAUGCCUUCAUACAAAUGUUUUAAAUAAAUCCUAUGAAACCUACAAAUCCAUAUAAAUGUCAGUAUAGUGAAUAUUAACAAACUAGAAAUAUUGAAUUCCUUCAAUUUUCAGAUACUAAGUGAAUCAUUGUGCAACAAAACAUGUUAUUACAGAAAUGGAAUGCUGCUUUCCAUGUGUAUGUGAGUGACUGAGGUCAUAAGAAUUUUCAUUCUAAAUUCAGAAAAAUAUAAAAGGCCAAAUUAUACCUAAAUAUUUCUUGAAACCCAGCCCAACUUUAGGAAUAUCAAAUGGCAUCCAAGAAUAUUUCCAUGCUGUAACUGAUAACUGAUGCUUUGCUUUGCUGUGUAGUAAAUGUGAUCUGAACAUUUGGCUUUUUUUUUUUUUUUAAGGGGUUUUCAAUCCAUUCUUCCCCUAUCCUCCCAAAAGUCACUUAAGGGCAUAGCUAAAACAAAACAAAAAACCUGCUAGAUAUGAAAAGUAGAAUUUGUAAUUUUGUCUUUAAGUAGAGUGAAAAACUAUAUUAUUUACAACUGGCUGUUUUUUUUUUUUUUGUUUUGUUUUGUUUUUAGCAGAAAAUAUUCCAGCCCCACUCAACUGCUCUCAAUUGUAAUGGGAAGGGAAAGUGUGACUGGGUUGAUCCCAGAUUUCAAAUGGGUUGGGAUACUGAACUAUGCCAUGAAAAUCAGCCUGGCCUUGUCUCAUGAAAAUACUGGAAACCUGGAAGGAGGAAAACAAUUAUCAUCUGUUACCAACCAGUUCUAUCCACUUCACUUGGUAUUAUAACACGUAAAUAUUCCUAGGUUUUUAAAAACUAUCUUGCUUGGAUUAUCUCAAAGAGGCCUGGAGAGACUUACAUGAACUGAUGCUAAGUGAA